This 451-nucleotide ribosomal RNA is filed under the name uncultured bacterium. Its description in RNAcentral is "bacterial SSU rRNA". It matches the Rfam family "Bacterial small subunit ribosomal RNA", at positions 501 to 951 of the family's 1533-position model. The record is from RNAcentral.
CUACGUGCCAGCAGCCGCGGUAAUACGUAGGUGGCAAGCGUUGUCCGGAAUUAUUGGGCGUAAAGCGCGCGCAGGCGGAUUGGUCAGUCUGUCUUAAAAGUUCGGGGCUUAACCCCGUGAUGGGAUGGAAACUGCCAAUCUAGAGUAUCGGAGAGGAAAGUGGAAUUCCUAGUGUAGCGGUGAAAUGCGUAGAUAUUAGGAAGAACACCAGUGGCGAAGGCGACUUUCUGGACGAAAACUGACGCUGAGGCGCGAAAGCCAGGGGAGCGAACGGGAUUAGAUACCCCGGUAGUCCUGGCCGUAAACGAUGGGUACUAGGUGUAGGAGGUAUCGACCCCUUCUGUGCCGGAGUUAACGCAAUAAGUACCCCGCCUGGGGAGUACGACCGCAAGGUUGAAACUCAAAGGAAUUGACGGGGGCCCGCACAAGCGGUGGAGUAUGUGGUUUAAUU